UAGGGAAUCUUCGGCAAUGGACGAAAGUCUGACCGAGCAACGCCGCGUGAGUGAAGAAGGUUUUCGGAUCGUAAAACUCUGUUGUUAGAGAAGAACAAGGACGUUAGUAACUGAACGUCCCCUGACGGUAUCUAACCAGAAAGCCACGGCUAACUACGUGCCAGCAGCCGCGGUAAUACGUAGGUGGCAAGCGUUGUCCGGAUUUAUUGGGCGUAAAGCGAGCGCAGGCGGUUACUUAAGUCUGAUGUGAAAGCCCCUGGCUCAACCGGGGCGGGUCAUUGGAAAAUGGGAGACGUGAGUGCAGAAGAGGAGAGUGGAAUUCCAUGUGUAGCGGUGAAAUGCGUAGAUAUAUGGAGGAACACCAGUGGCGAAGGCGGCUCUCUGGUCUGUAACUGAAGCUGAGGAUCGAAAGCGUGGGGAGCAAACAGG
This 429-nucleotide ribosomal RNA is filed under the name Gemmatimonadota bacterium. RNAcentral describes it as "Gemmatimonadetes bacterium partial 16S ribosomal RNA". It matches the Rfam family "Bacterial small subunit ribosomal RNA", at positions 355 to 776 of the family's 1533-position model. Lineage: Bacteria; Pseudomonadati; Gemmatimonadota. The record is from RNAcentral.